GUACACUCCUGCGGGAGGCAGCAGUGAGGAAUAUUGGACAAUGGGUGGAAGCCUGAUCCAGCCAUCCCGCGUGCAGGAAGACGGCCCUAUGGGUUGUAAACUGCUUUUAUCUGGGGAUAAACCUACUUACGUGUAAGUAGCUGAAGGUACCAGAAGAAUAAGCACCGGCUAACUCCGUGCCAGCAGCCGCGGUAAUACGGAGGGUGCAAGCGUUAUCCGGAUUUAUUGGGUUUAAAGGGUCCGUAGGCGGACUGAUAAGUCAGUGGUGAAAUCCGACAGCUUAACUGUCGAACUGCCAUUGAUACUGUUAGUCUUGAGUAAGGUUGAAGUGGCUGGAAUAAGUAGUGUAGCGGUGAAAUGCAUAGAUAUUACUUAGAACACCAAUUGCGAAGGCAGGUCACUAAGUCUUAACUGACGCUGAUGGACGAAAGCGUGGGGAGCGAACAGGAUUAGAAACCCGGGUAGUCCCAU
RNAcentral lists this ribosomal RNA (471 nucleotides) under uncultured organism. RNAcentral describes it as "partial 16S ribosomal RNA". It matches the Rfam family "Bacterial small subunit ribosomal RNA", at positions 331 to 798 of the family's 1533-position model. The record is from RNAcentral.